Molecule: ribosomal RNA, 253 nt
Filed under: uncultured bacterium
Lineage: Bacteria
Description: partial 16S ribosomal RNA
Rfam family: Bacterial small subunit ribosomal RNA
Source: RNAcentral
UACGUAGGGCGCGAGCGUUGUUCGGAUUCAUUGGGCGUAAAGGGUGCGUAGGUGGCGCCGUAAGUCAGGUGUGAAAUCUCGGGGCUCAACCCCGAAACUGCACUUGAUACUGCGGUGCUCGAGUACUGGAGAGGAGAUUGGAAUUUACGGUGUAGCAGUGAAAUGCGUAGAUAUCGUGAGGAAGACCAGUGGCGAAGGCGGGUCUCUGGACAGUUCCUGACGCUGAGGCACGAAGGUCAGGGGAGCAAACGGG